Culex pipiens pallens (northern house mosquito) is the source of this 1369-nucleotide long non-coding RNA. RefSeq lists it as uncharacterized. Lineage: Eukaryota; Metazoa; Arthropoda; Insecta; Diptera; Culicidae. The record is from RefSeq and is a predicted model, not a curated record. The transcript is spliced from 2 exons.
UUCCCAAUCAAACCGUUCUCCGCUUGACGGGUUCAUUCCGCUUCGAAUUCCGCUUCGAAAAUUGCUUCGAAAUUUUCUAAACGGAAUCUCCGGUUGGACUCCGUUUAGAUUCCGUUUGAGCCAUUUUAGUACAUUAGCGACACCUGCUGGUGUACGGCAGAACCUCGAUGACAUUUCGCCGCGUUUCGCCGAAGCGGUUUUCUUGUUGAUUUUUUUCAAUCAAACGUCAAAGUGUUUGGAAAAAAUCAAAAAGCGAAACUUGUUCGAUCCUGUUCAUUCGCGCCACGUUUUUUCGGGGAAAAAAACUUACUGUGGAAAUAACUGGUGAGUUACGCUACAUUUCUAAGGAUUCGGACCAUUGACCCAAUAACCGAUGCCUCCUCUUUCAGAUUCCUGGCCGUCCUACACGGGCUCGACGGAACCGGCUUCUUUUAAGUCUCUUCCAGCCGUAUCUUCUCCAUCCGCUCGCUCCACUCUGAAUCUUGUUCCGGCUGAGCUGGACCUUUUGCUAAUGCUGAGACAGGCCACCAGAGCCGAAAUCUGUGCAACCUUCGUCGGGGUUCUCAUUCUGCGGACCACAUUCCCGGAGCUGUUGGCGGCACCGAACUCUGCCUUGGUCGACGCCGUUGGCUGGGACGCUUUGGCCGUGAUGGCCGAUUCAGCCUUGGCCGGACUGGCCUAGAGGCGCAGAAGCACGCGUGCAUGAAUUUGUUCACAGCACACUACAGGUGGACAAUCACGGGGAGUUCCUCGAUUUGAACGUCGGCCGAUCUCGAUGCGCCCGCUGGCAGGUUGUGGCCACUGGAACCAGCCAGCUGCGGAAUGUGUGUGGGCCUAAGGCCUGACCUGGCCUGCUGUCUUUGAAAAGUUGCUGUUUGUCCUUCUGUUUUGCCCAACAAAACGCCGGUCGCGGCGUAAUUGCUCGUGCCGCCUCCGGAGAGUGACGCCGUCGUGUCUAAGAACCCGAUGGACGGCAAGCUGGCGGUGCUCUUACCAAACGCGCCUGACAGUGUCGGCGCCAGCAGUGACGCGGCUUACCCGUUCAAAAGCAUGGCCCAGGCGCGCAUAGUUCAGUGGCGGGAGAACACUCGAUGAUGUCACAAUCCCUUUGUCGUGCCUAACCCUCCGAUUGCGUUGGACCGCCAGCACCACCUCCUCCUCCGCCGGCUUACGGGUGAAGAGUGGACCACCUUCGCAGUCGUAACAUCUUCCAGCACGGAUCGCCGGCAUUCGAAUGCCUGCCAAGCUCCCUAACCUCGGUGCGACGACGACGAGCCUCUCCUGGACCAAGCGGCCACGCUCCAGUCGACGAAAUCAUCCGAUACGAUCGACGGCGGCCAAGACGAAGACUAUGGAAUCCCGCGUGUAU